UACGAAGGGGGCUAGCGUUGUUCGGAAUUACUGGGCGUAAAGCGCACGUAGGCGGAUCAGCAAGUCAGGGGUGAAAUCCCGGGGCUCAACCUCGGAACUGCCUCUGAUACUGCUGGUCUAGAGUCCGGAAGAGGUGGGUGGAAUUCCUAGUGUAGAGGUGAAAUUCGCAGAUAUUAGGAAGAACACCGGUGGCGAAGGCGGCCCACUGGUCCGGUACUGACGCUGAGGUGCGAAAGCGUGGGGAGCAAACAGG
This 253-nucleotide ribosomal RNA is filed under the name uncultured bacterium. RNAcentral's name for it is "partial 16S ribosomal RNA". It matches the Rfam family "Bacterial small subunit ribosomal RNA", at positions 524 to 776 of the family's 1533-position model. The record is from RNAcentral.